UACGAAGGGGGCUAGCGUUGCUCGGAAUGACUGGGCGUAAAGGGCGCGUAGGCGGUUCAUCCAGUCAGAUGUGAAAUUCCUGGGCUCAACCUGGGGGCUGCAUUUGAUACGUGUGGACUAGAGUGGGGAAGAGGGUCGUGGAAUUCCCAGUGUAGAGGUGAAAUUCGUAGAUAUUGGGAAGAACACCGGUGGCGAAGGCGGCGACCUGGUCCUUGACUGACGCUGAGGCGCGAAAGCGUGGGGAGCAAACAGG
RNAcentral lists this ribosomal RNA (253 nucleotides) under uncultured bacterium. RNAcentral's name for it is "partial 16S ribosomal RNA". It matches the Rfam family "Bacterial small subunit ribosomal RNA", at positions 524 to 776 of the family's 1533-position model. The record is from RNAcentral.